Podarcis raffonei (Aeolian wall lizard) is the source of this 3765-nucleotide long non-coding RNA. RefSeq lists it as uncharacterized. NCBI's taxonomy places the organism in Eukaryota, Metazoa, Chordata, Lepidosauria, Squamata, Lacertidae. The record is from RefSeq and is a predicted model, not a curated record. The transcript has 2 exons.
UCGGUCCCUGCUCCUGCCAACCUGGCAGUUCAAAAGCAUGUCAAUGUGCAAGUAGAUCAAUAGGUACCACUCCGGCGGGAAGGUACAGCCAGAAGCUGUACUCCGGCUCCCUUGACCAAUAAAGCGAGAUGAGCGCCGCAACCCCAGAGUCGGACAUGACUGGACCUAAUGGUCAGGGGUCCCUUUAGCUUUACCUUUAUAAUUUAUAAGCUAAACUUCCCCAAAUCCCUCUACCGUUCCUCAUCAGGCUUGGUUUACGCAGGACACUUGUUACAUUGAAUUGCACUUGCCAUGUUACUGCCCAUUCACUCAUUUCAGAGGGGACCUUUUGGAGACCCCUUUUUCCUUUCACCCCCCCCCCCACAAUGUACUAACAUACUCAACUUUGGCCACCUCACUGCUCUUCCCUGACGCUGGACUGUUGAGGAACAAGUUAAAAAGGAAGAAGCCCCCUCUUUUCCCUCCCCGAUCCUUGUGACUCCCAGUUCCCCUCACCCCUCACCAUUGGCCAUGCUGCCUGAGGCUGAUGGGAGUUGGAGUCCAAGGAAGUCAGGGGGGUUCCACAGGUUCUCCAUCCCUGCCCUACAGCACCCCAGACACACAGGCCGCUUCCCUGUUUGAAUAGCUUUGAAAUGCGAAAGGCGAGAGGCAAAGUGGAGGCAGUGAUUUAUUUGUGUCUUGAGACAAACAGAUGCCAACGAUAACAGCGACAUUUAUGGGGACCAGGAAAUAGGAACAGCCCCUGGUAAAGAGGGACAGUAAGAGUGCUUGCAUUUUGCUGCCAUGAUACCAGAGGCAGGUUGCCAGCCUGGCUCUGUAGGCGGCAGACAGCGUCCUGGCAAAGUGUGGCAAUGCCCUUCUCUUUUUCUUCUCCCAGCAGGUGCCCUGAUAGUAAACGGGAGCUGAGAGGCCUCUGCUUGCUGUUCACCCUCUGGGGUUACAGAAGGGGUUAAAGAGCCCUUUGCUGGUGAGGAUGAGCUGGUGGGAUGAGGCUAAUUCUGCGAGCCUUUCAGUCCUUUCUUAGUAUCGCCCUGUUAAAAAUGAGGGACUGUGAAUAUGAAGGGCCACAAGAGGGGAGAAUGGGGAAACUCCCCAAACCUCUUGAGUUCCUGCCAUCUUCAGACUCCUGCAAAGCCCACUCAGAAAGCCCACAAUUCCCAUUCAUGAUUCUAGUAUAGUGUCUUCCAAACGUGGGUCUCCAGCUGUUUUUGGACUACAGUUCCCAUCAUCCCUGACCACUGGUCCUGCUUGCUAGGGAUGAUGGGAGUUGUGGUUCAUCCGAAGCAGGAGACGCAAAUUUGGUAAACACUGUUCUAGUCCACCUGUUGUCCACUCUACGUGAUAGGCAAGGCUUGGAACAGUAUCAUACUUUUUAUUUACUCUUCUGUGCCCUCCUUGCUUCUCUCUUCUUCCAGCCAACAUCCAGCUAGUCAGUGAUUGUUCCACUCUUCCCUCAUUUAUGCAAUUUAUGCAAACCCCUCCACACCCAAAUAUAUGCAAAUAUGUUUGGAUUUGCACAAACCAUACUGGGCCCAGGCUUCAUUGUCUCUUCAUGCAGAAUUUUUGAGUCCUCCCCUUUUAAAAAACAAAUAUAUGCAGCUCACAGCAAGCUGCUGUUAUCUCAGAAGCCAGCUUUUACCAGAGAGUGGCUGCCUCGUGGACCUACAAGACUGUCCAGUUUCUCAGGGCGGCUGUGAAGCCGAGAGAUCUUAUUUGAAGAUUUUAACAGUGGAUAGCGGGCUCACCAAGUCCUAGACUAGUCGGGUAGUGAAGAGGGGAGUGUUCUGCUGGUAUAAACAUCAUCAGAGUUGUACCGAUGGGUCAGAAGGGAGGACUCGAGAACACAUAGGGCGGUGGUCAACUAACUCCUUCUUGUAGGAGACCCAUUGAAGUUAACGAACCCAAGUUAACCAUGUCCAUUAGCUUAAAUGGGUCUGCUUGGAGUAGGACUUGUGUUGAAUCCCACCCCUAGUAUCAGCCAUGUAGGACCUUAUUAGGUCGUUUUGACAGUCAUCAUAAGCACCGAAGCAAAGUCCAGGAAUCGUAAGUAACUCUUUUGGGAAUGUUCUUUUAAUACUUGGAUCGCCAAACAUCUCACAUAUACUCCUAAUUUUAUACCAGCAGAGGUUGGGCAAGUAUUGACGAGGAAUAAUUUGGGGGUUACUGCAGUGUCUGACAAUUUGUUACCUAGAUGAAGUGGGUGGAUGUUGAUAGGGGGAAAGGGGGCCAGUGCCAAGCAGCCUGGGGAAAACAGUAGUCAGGCACUCUUGACUUCCAGGAGGGUGGUUGUGUGUGUGUGUGCAAAAGCCACAAUUUUGGAGCUGAUUUUCAGAAUUUUUGGAGUAAAAUUAGAACGCCUGGAGUCAAAGUGUGAUUUCCCACUUCAUGAACACACUUGAACUUGUAUCACACACAUACACACCCACCCACCCACUAAGCCAGACUGUGAAGCUCACCAUUUCAUACUUGGCUGCAAGAGACUGCAAGAUGUGUGUGGCUGGUGGGUGCAGGUCUGUGCCUCCUCAUAGGCGAGCAGAGACCCACAAAUUGGAGCCGGCCUUGGUAGCCAGCCAGAAUUUGCACUUGCCACUCGCUUUACUUCUCCUUGUAAUGGGGGAGAAAUGUCCCGCUGAGCUCUGGAGGCUUUUUCAGAACGAAUAAAUACCAAAGGGACAAGCCUUCUCUCAAACUCCAAAUCCAUGUGAGUGUUGAGGGAACUUCCUCAAUGCUCUUCCAAGAGGCUCCACAUGAGGGCCAGGAAGAUCCUCUGAUGCCUUCUCUGAGCUAAGGAGAAGGCAGAAUAAUCUCCCAGGUUUCGGGCUGGGUUUCGGGGAUGAGAUCUGUCACUGUUACCCACGUAAUUCCAAGGCGCUGAGUGCAAAAAAGUCUGAAGUGCAAGACGGUCUGAGGACUCUGCCCUGUAUCUGAGUGGGGAUUUCACCAGAUUACAAAAAAUGGUGUCACCUGUGGAGGUUGUAUACUCAUAAAAACCCUCUACAAUUCCUUCACUCCUUGGCUAAGGUGUAAACCAGCAUAUCAGCAAGUACUAACCAUGGGAGUGAAAAUGAGGCUCCACUCAAAUUAUGAGGGAAAAGAUACAGGCUUAGUGAAAUCCACAAGUCCUACCCAUUGACUGUCCCAAAUUUAAGUCAAAUCAUGCCCCCAUGCUCCCCAUAGCCGUUCAAGAACAGUAGCUAAGGGAGUGUUCACAAAAAGGAAGGGCCACUGGCCCACUCUGCCUCCAGUUUAAUACAAGCACUGGCUCUGCUCCUACCACCAUCUGCCAGGCCUUUAACAAGGCCUAAGUUCCACCUCUUGGUCAUUGUUUGUUGACAACCCAGUUACGUAGUAAUUCUUUGUAGCUUUGUUUUAUUUCAACAUUUCUUCAGUCCUGGCUACUUGGAGGUUGACAGCCACUAGCAAAGUCUCUGCCAUGGUAGAAGGGAGAUUUCCUCCCACAAAGUCGUAACACCAAAGAGCAGAAAAGCAGUAUCAUCCAGUACCAUGUUUGUUCCUUGGGAUAAGGUUGCCCUUGUUCUUCGUCUAGCUAUUUGAUUAUGAUUCUGUUAUUCUAUGAUCUGAGCAGGAGUGAGGAGCUAGCAGCCUGCAGGCCAGAUCUGUCCCACCCCCACAAGCCUUUCCUACUAGAAACUGAAUAUUGGGGCUGGCCCAGUUGGACAGUUUCCUUUUUUUAAAAGAAGUUGGAUUUUAUUUUCAUUUGUAUGGAUUAAUUUGAAGAAAUUAAACAUCUCACAUUUUUGUUUC